UGCGCCACCACUGACACGGAACAACGGCAAACACGCCGCCGGGUCAGCGGGGUUCUCCUGAGAAUUCCGACAGAGAAAGCAAAAAUAAAUGCUUGACUCUGUAGCGGGAAAGUGUAUUAUGCACACCCCGCGCCGCUGAGAAAAAGCGAAGCGGCACUGCUCUUUAACAAUUUAUCAGACAAUCUGUGUGGGCAUUCGAAGAUACGGAUUCUUAACGUCGCAAGACGAAAAAUGAAUACCAAGUCUCAAGAGUGAACACGUAAUUCAUUACGAAGUUUAAUUCUUUGAGCAUCAAACUUU
Molecule: ribosomal RNA, 300 nt
Filed under: Escherichia coli 2-222-05_S1_C1
Lineage: Bacteria; Pseudomonadati; Pseudomonadota; Gammaproteobacteria; Enterobacterales; Enterobacteriaceae
Description: partial 16S ribosomal RNA
Source: RNAcentral